This 245-nucleotide ribosomal RNA is filed under the name uncultured bacterium. Its description in RNAcentral is "partial 16S ribosomal RNA". It matches the Rfam family "Bacterial small subunit ribosomal RNA", at positions 528 to 772 of the family's 1533-position model. The record is from RNAcentral.
UAGGGGGCAAGCGUUAUCCGGUUUUACUGGGUGUAAAGGGAGCGUAGACGGCGCGGCAAGUCUGAAGUGAAAGGCAGGGGCUUAACCCCUGAACUGCUUUGGAAACUGCCAUGCUAGAGUGCUGGAGAGGUAAGUGGAAUUCCUAGUGUAGCGGUGAAAUGCGUAGAUAUUAGGAGGAACACCAGUGGCGAAGGCGGCUUACUGGACAGUAACUGACGUUGAGGCUCGAAAGCGUGGGGAGCAAA